CAUGGGCCAGAGCUGCUAAGCAGGACCAGACGUGACUCCAUCGAACCCCAAAGCACUCCAGAGGAACAUGGCUCCUUUCAACCUGCCUCUCCCAUAGCUAACUGUCCCCAAGAGAACUGUCUGUGGGGGUGCCCAAAAUAACUGGGCAGGAACUUCGGUCCCCUUUCUAAUGACAGCGCCCCUGAAUGAAGGGGACACGGAAAAUCAAGACCUUGGAAUGUCUUCGUUUAUUGGGGAGUUGACCAGGGCACGUCUAAAGCCUCAGGAUUAACUCUUGAGAGCACUGGUCCCCGCGCCACGCGCUCGCAGGUG
Molecule: long non-coding RNA, 312 nt
Organism: Jaculus jaculus (lesser Egyptian jerboa)
Lineage: Eukaryota; Metazoa; Chordata; Mammalia; Rodentia; Dipodidae
Exons: 3
Source: RefSeq, a predicted model, not a curated record